AUAUGCCUGGCUCCCUGUAUGCCACCCGCAUAGCUGCCAACUCAGUCGAGCGCGCUUCCCCCAGCUGUGGGCGUGUACGAUUGCUGGCUCUACUGCGGAUGGCGUGCGAGGAGCCAAGCAUGA
This 123-nucleotide microRNA precursor is filed under the name Dichanthelium oligosanthes. RNAcentral describes it as "mir-160 microRNA precursor family". It matches the Rfam family "mir-160 microRNA precursor family". Rfam says of the family: The hairpin precursors (represented here) are predicted based on base pairing and cross-species conservation -- their extents are not known. In this case the mature sequence is excised from the 5' arm of the hairpin. The record is from Rfam by way of RNAcentral. Lineage: Eukaryota; Viridiplantae; Streptophyta; Magnoliopsida; Poales; Poaceae.